UACGUAGGUGGCAAGCGUUGUCCGGAUUUACUGGGCGUAAAGAGCGCGCAGGCGGUCGGACAAGUCGCGUGUGAAAGCCCCCGGCUCAACUGGGGAGGGUCACGCGAUACUGUUCGACUCGAAGGCAGGAGAGGGAAGUGGAAUUCCCGGUGUAGUGGUGAAAUGCGUAGAUAUCGGGAGGAACACCAGUGGCGAAGGCGACUACCCGGCCUGUUCUUGACGCUGAGGCGCGAAAGCUAGGGGAGCAAACGGG
RNAcentral lists this ribosomal RNA (253 nucleotides) under uncultured bacterium. RNAcentral describes it as "partial 16S ribosomal RNA". It matches the Rfam family "Bacterial small subunit ribosomal RNA", at positions 524 to 776 of the family's 1533-position model. The record is from RNAcentral.